GGCGGUUUCGGCUUUUUGGUCUUUCCUGCUGCCUUGUGAAGAAGGUGCUUGUUUCUUCUUUGCCUUCUGCCAUGAUUGCCAUGUGAAUCGCACCCCUGGAACUGUGCAGGGCCCACCUGUGUGGCCACACGCAGUGACCCUGAGCAAAGGAGUGACCACAGAAGUGCAUGGCAAAGCAGAAAGGUGUGACGUCUUGGAGGACGCGGGAGGAAAGCACGCCCAGCGGACAGGAGCCAUCACGCGGCUGCGGGCUGCUGCUGAGAACCUGGCGUGGGCCACCGUCGUCAGCAGCGUGGAGGGAGCCGAGGAGCAUGGACACCGUCUUCUCCUUCCAGCAGGCACAGGACACUUGUUAUUGCAGUCAGAGUCCAUCUGGAUAAUCCUGGAUAAAUCUCAUCUGGAGAUCCUUCACCAGAUCACAUCGGCAAUGACCUGUUCCCCAAAUAAGGCCCUGUGCACAGGUUCUGGGGGACAUAUCUUGUAAUUGAAGACGUCUCACCAUAGCGGCCAGCCGUGCAACCACUGGGCCUGUCUGUGCCUGAACAACACACUGGCCUGCCUUUGCCUGAACAAGACAGCCUUAGUCUCAAAGCUUGCAGAUGGGUGUGGCCUGGUAGAAAAUUCUCAAGACAACGGCGGAGCACGCUUGCCCCUAGGAGACCAAGUGGCCGGAAUGUUGAGAAUCAGCCUUUCGCAGAAAUCCCCUAAGCGGGAGGCAGCAGGCUGACUCCAUCAGCCCCAGGCAGGCUUCUGGGCCCUGCAGCUAUGGCUCUUCAUCCUUUUACAUGUUCUUCGAGAAUCAGCUGCACCCUGGAUGCUUCUGACAGCUCAGAGGACAUCAGCAUGAGGACAAGCACAGGGCUUGAUGGCUCGGAGGGAAAUGGAGUUGGAAGAUUUGGACUUAAUGUGCACACAUUUUAGAAAUAUCUUAACAAAUUUUAUUUUGCUGAUAUCUUUCUUUUUUGUGUGUGCCAAAGUGAUGGCCAGUACAAAUCCAUGUCUAAUUAAGUCCAGAAGAGCUCCUUCAAUAAGCGUAAGAUGAAAGUUAUGAGUGAUAAGAAAGCGUCAUGUCAGUUUAAUUGGCAGCAUUUUCUCUUUCUUAGUGGUUCAUAAAAUAAGGCAGUGCUUUGCUAUCGACGG
This 1140-nucleotide long non-coding RNA is filed under the name Homo sapiens (human). RNAcentral describes it as "HSALNT0000810". Lineage: Eukaryota; Metazoa; Chordata; Mammalia; Primates; Hominidae. The record is from RNAcentral.